UGCGUAGGUGGCGUGGUAAGUCGGGUGUGAAAUUUCGGAGCUUAACUCCGAAACUGCAUUCGAUACUGCCGUGCUUGAGGACUGGAGAGGAGACUGGAAUUUACGGUGUAGCAGUGAAAUGCGUAGAGAUCGUAAGGAAGACCAGUGGCGAAGGCGGGUCUCUGGACAGUUCCUGACACUGAGGCACGAAGGGCUAGGGGAGGCAAACG
RNAcentral lists this ribosomal RNA (209 nucleotides) under uncultured bacterium. RNAcentral describes it as "partial 16S ribosomal RNA". It matches the Rfam family "Bacterial small subunit ribosomal RNA", at positions 568 to 775 of the family's 1533-position model. The record is from RNAcentral.